GCCCGCCCGUCUCCGUGAAGCUGUUGUGCCGCCGUCGGCGCUAGCCAGAUGCAGCCGCCUCCCGAUUGAUUUUCCUAUCUUUGCAGUUUGGAUCAGGGAGUAGGCCUCACGUACGUAUGUGGGAUUGAGGGCCAGGAGGUUUUCUUUUCAGAAAAUUGUCGGGCAAGCUGUAAUAAAAGGGGAAUAUGAGUGGUUCUUAUGGUAUGCUCGUAACUGAAUUGAACAUGACUGUGGUCUAGUCCAUUAGAUACUUAUAACUUGACCCUUGUGUCAUUCGGAGUUUACUAAUUGUCAGUAUUUCAUGGAUAUAUAAGGCAUUACUGGGCACACGGCCUAGAGGAACUCAAGUGAACAACAAAGCUAACAGGUACACUCUCUCUCCCUCUCGGGUUAAUUCCAGAUUAGUUAUAGUGUAUGAAUCUUCAAGUAGUUGCUGCACCAGCAAAUGAUGAUAUCAUUACUCUCUGAUUUGUAUUGUAUUAAUUAGCAGAAUGUCCAUAAAAUCUUUUG
Long non-coding RNA from Lolium rigidum, 510 nucleotides. RefSeq lists it as uncharacterized. The transcript has 3 exons. The record is from RefSeq and is a predicted model, not a curated record. NCBI's taxonomy places the organism in Eukaryota, Viridiplantae, Streptophyta, Magnoliopsida, Poales, Poaceae.